CCCCUCUAAUGGCUGUCACCUGGACGUGGUGAGGGGGCCCAGUACCAUCAUGUUCACAAAGGCUCAGUUUCUGGGGCCGUGGACAUGGGGGGAAGCUAAGAACAGC
RNAcentral lists this non-coding RNA (106 nucleotides) under unclassified sequences. The record is from RNAcentral.